GCCCUCGUAGCUCAGUUGGCAGAGCGCAUUCUUGGUAAGAAUGAGGUCUCCGGUUCAAGCCCGGACGAGGGCUCCA
Molecule: transfer RNA, 76 nt
Filed under: Candidatus Woykebacteria bacterium RBG_13_40_7b
Lineage: Bacteria; Candidatus Woykeibacteriota
Description: tRNA-Thr
Source: RNAcentral